GUGGGGAAUAUUGGACAAUGGGGGGAACCCUGAUCCAGCCAUGCCGCGUGUGUGAAGAAGGCCUUUUGGUUGUAAAGCACUUUAAGCGAGGAGGAGGCUCUUCUAGUUAAUACCUAGGAUGAGUGGACGUUACUCGCAGAAUAAGCACCGGCUAACUCUGUGCCAGCAGCCGCGGUAAUACAGAGGGUGCGAGCGUUAAUCGGAUUUACUGGGCGUAAAGCGUACGUAGGCGGCUUUUUAAGUCGGAUGUGAAAUCCCUGAGCUUAACUUAGGAAUUGCAUUCGAUACUGGGAAGCUAGAGUAUGGGAGAGGAUGGUAGAAUUCCAGGUGUAGCGGUGAAAUGCGUAGAGAUCUGGAGGAAUACCGAUGGCGAAGGCAGCCAUCUGGCCUAAUACUGACGCUGAGGUACGAAAGCAUGGGGAGCAAACAGGAUUAGAUACCCCGGUAGUCC
RNAcentral lists this ribosomal RNA (451 nucleotides) under uncultured bacterium. RNAcentral's name for it is "partial 16S ribosomal RNA". It matches the Rfam family "Bacterial small subunit ribosomal RNA", at positions 354 to 796 of the family's 1533-position model. The record is from RNAcentral.